UAAAAAUUUUAUAAUUUAUUUAAUUUAUUAUAAAUUUAUUUUACAUAUGAAUUUUAGUGUUUAAUUUUGAUUAUUUUGAAAAUAAUUAAUUAUAAUUUGUAGUAAUUAAUAUUAAAAAUUUAAGAAAUUAAGUUUUAGUAAUAUUUAAACUAAUAACAAAAUUUGUGCCAGCAGUUGCGGUUAAACAAAAAUUGGGUUAAAUUAUUUCAGUAUAUAAUAAUUAAAUUAAUGUAUUUAAAAUAAAUAUUAAAUUGUUAGGUGAAAUUUUAAUUUAAUUAAAUUUUCUUUAAAAAUUAUGAAUUAAUAAAUUUAAAAUUAAACUAGGAUUAGAUACCCUAUUAUUAAAAAUUUAAUUUAUAAUACUAAAAUAGUAAAUAUAAUUUAUUGAAACUUAAAUAAUAUGGCGGUAUUUUAGUUCAUUUAGAGGAAUCUGUUUAAUAAUUGAUAAUCCACGAAUAAAUUUACUUAAUUUAAAAUUUUGUAUAUCAUUGUUAAAAAAAUAUUUUUCUAAAAAAAUAAUAUUUAAAAUUUAAAAUAAAAGUUAAUUCAGAUCAAGAUGCAGAUUAUAAUUAAGAAUAUAAUGGAUUACAAUAAAUAUAUUUAAAUGGAUAAUAUUUUGUAAGAUUAAUUUGAAAGUGGAUUUAAAUGUAAUUUUAAUUAAUUUAUUAAAAUGAUUAAAAAUUGAAAUAUGUACAUAUUGCCCGUCACUUUCAUUUAAAAAUUGAAAUAAGUCGUAACAAAGUAGAAGUACUGGAAAGUGUUUCUAGAAUGAA
This 773-nucleotide non-coding RNA is filed under the name Pseudergolis wedah. The record is from RNAcentral. Lineage: Eukaryota; Metazoa; Arthropoda; Insecta; Lepidoptera; Nymphalidae.